Molecule: ribosomal RNA, 301 nt
Filed under: uncultured bacterium
Lineage: Bacteria
Description: partial 16S ribosomal RNA
Rfam family: Bacterial small subunit ribosomal RNA
Source: RNAcentral
CAGUCGCCGCGGUAAUACGGAGGAUCCAAGCGUUAUCCGGAUUUAUUGGGUUUAAAGGGUGCGUAGGUGGCCUGUUAAGUCAGGGGUGAAAGACGGUAGCUUAACUAUCGCAGUGCCUUUGAUACUGACGGGCUUGAAUACACUAGAGGUAGGCGGAAUGUGACAAGUAGUGGUGAAAUGCAUAGAUAUGUCACAGAACACCAAUUGCGAAGGCAGCUUACUAUGGUGUCAUUGACACUGAGGCACGAAAGCGUGGGGAUCAAACAGGAUUAGAUACCCCUGUAGUCCCUGUCUCUUAUAC